Molecule: ribosomal RNA, 497 nt
Filed under: uncultured bacterium
Lineage: Bacteria
Description: partial 16S ribosomal RNA
Rfam family: Bacterial small subunit ribosomal RNA
Source: RNAcentral
GAUGAACGCUGGCGGCGUGCCUAAUACAUGAAAGUCGAGCGAACAGAUGAGGAGCUUGCUCCUCUGACGUUAGCGGCGGACGGGUGAGUAACACGUGGAUAACCUACCUAUAAGACUGGGAUAACUUCGGGAAACCGGAGCUAAUACCGGAUAAUAUAUUGAACCGCAUGGUUCAAUAGUGAAAGACGGUUUUGCUGUCACUUAUAGAUGGAUCCGCGCCGCAUUAGCUAGUUGGUAAGGUAACGGCUUACCAAGGCAACGAUGCGUAGCCGACCUGAGAGGGUGAUCGGCCACACUGGAACUGAGACACGGUCCAGACUCCUACGGGAGACAGCAGUAGGGAAUCUUCCGCAAUGGGCGAAAGCCUGACGGAGCAACGCCGCGUGAGUGAUGAAGGUCUUCGGAUCGUAAAACUCUGUUAUUAGGGAAGAACAAAUGUGUAAGUAACUAUGCACGUCUUGACGGUACCUAAUCAGAAAGCCACGGCUAACUACGUG